Molecule: long non-coding RNA, 7629 nt
Filed under: Nicotiana tabacum (common tobacco)
Lineage: Eukaryota; Viridiplantae; Streptophyta; Magnoliopsida; Solanales; Solanaceae
Description: long non-coding RNA (NTAB_LNC004404)
Source: RNAcentral
UCCGAAGCAAAUGGAGUGCACCAACACCUUCCGCUGAGCUGAUAGCCUAAUAGAGGGCUCUCGACCUAUCUAUCGGGACCUGCAAGCAUGAAAUGCAAUGUUCCUAGGUAAAAGGGAUGUCAGUUCGAAUAAUGUACUGAGUAUGUAAAGCACAUAAAUAAGUACAUAACAGACAUAAAAGAAAUAUGGAGUAAAUGACUCAGCCUGUAAGCCUGGAUAAUUCUGUAACUCAUGAAGUAAUUAUAAUGUCAUGCAUAUGCAUAUGAAUGUCAUGUCGUGCAUAGAUACAUAUUUCAUAACAUCAUCAGGCCUCUGAGGGCAUCCCAUCACAUCAUCUCGGCCACUAUGAGCAAAAUCAUCAACGUAUCCCAGCUGAUCAGGUGGUGGUACGUAUAUAACGCCGUAAUCUUUUCCUAUAUAUAUAUAUAUGCCAUCUGGUCAUGGGUCAAUGUGCAUAUAUAAAUGCAUGAGAUGCAUAUGAAAUGCGUUAACAAAAUCUCUCGGUACGUCAUAAGAACAUUAAGCUUCUAAUUAAUAUCAUGAAAUAAACUUUACCAACUUACGUAUUUUUGAGACCCAUGAACAGAUGAUAGAAUAAUAUGACACAUGGAAAAUAAGAAUAUACACAUCUCUAGCAUUUCUAUGAAUAGAAUAAUUUAUGGAAGUUGUGCAUUUGCUCGUUUCAUUUGUAUUUUACAGAUCAUGCCAAAAAGAAAGAAAGAAAGGAUAGCCUUAACAUAUCUAGAGUAGGAAAAAUCCGCAUGAUGUUUUUGGAAAAGGUUGCACCGUACUCCUUUAGAAUCGCAGAAUUUUACAUUGCUACGGUUUCUAAAAUUCUUUGUUAGACUGUUGAAGAUUUACGUUGCUAAUAUGAAUGAAUAACGUUACUUAAUGAAAGGUUUAGGAUUUGAUUUCAUUCUCUUUGAGAAUGAAACUUGAUUUAGUUUUAAUCAAUUGUAUGUAUGCAGUGUGGAAAGUGUUGGAGAAGGAGAACAAAGAAUUCUUUGAGGCAUACAAUAAAACAAGAGAGGAAAAAUCAUCAUCAAUAUUAUCAGCAGAAUCACAAUUAGAGAGGACAAGACAAAGAAUCCAUAAUAUCUUGUUGGAUUCUUCUUCUAAAGAUUCCAAUGAAAAGUGACAACAAUUAUUAGUAGAAUUUUCAAAAUGACUGCCUUCCUCUCUAUUCUUUGGACAAUGAUGUUUGAUGUAAACUUUCAAAAACUAGCUCAAUGAUUAGUCUCAUGUACAUUAACUUACAACUCAAACGGUUGUAUUUAGUCUAGGUUAAUAAGACAAAGAGAUAGGGUUUUAUUAUAACUUGAAAAUUGUUAAAGAUUAAAUGCUUUGUUGCUAGCAUAUUAGGUGGCCACUUAAAAAGAAUGGCUAAGAGUCAUUCCUUUGGAAUGUAUCUUGCUGCCACAUGGGGGUGGGGGUUGGGGUGAGAAAUUUAAUCUUUAUCCACUUAUUAGUUAAUUAGGUAAUAUCCCCUUACCCGAUAAUUAACCAAUAACCCGAAUAACUAAAAAUUAUCUCAAAUUACUUAAAAUUAUACUUAUUUUUAAUAUACUUUAUACAUCAUACUACCGUGGUCAUAUGGUACCUUGUAUGAUACUAGUCCAUAAAUACCGGGUAUUAUGGCUCGGACCAUAUUUUAUUCCAAUUCGACAACCUUCAACAAAAUUCAUUUUUUUGAUUCGUUUACACUUUAUCCUUCACGGCACUUACUUAUUGCUUGUUAUAAAUAACAUAAAUGUGUAUAGCCUCAAGAUAGUCUCAGCCCCGAGUCUACGUCGAUUAACUGAAGACAAAACUUUAACAUACGAAAAUGCAGGAUGUAACAUCUCAUUUUCCUAGCUUCCAUCAAUUUACUUACGACGUACAUUCACGUACAAAAAUAUGGGAUGUAACAUUAUUCCCCCUCCCCCCUCCCAUUGGAACAUUUGUCCUCGAAUGUUGACUGAUGCACUUAUCAUUUUCAUAACUUCUGCCUUCCAAAUAAUUUAGUAUUCUCCUUGCCAUCUAGGCAACUGUUCUGUGAAUAAUUCCAAAGGCCAGGGCAUUCCCCCCUUUAGGCCUCUUUCUCACGUCAUGACUUAUGGUCGGAAUCCUUCCAAUCCCGUAACUGUUGUUACCUUCUAUCAUGCAGCCUGUACGACUUUGACCUUGUAAGUGCGCCUAUGCGACUCUUUUCCUCUUUUUCCUCCAACUUUUGGCCAAUCUCUAGGCCCACUUUGUAAACAUAUACAGAGCUUGACAAGAUGUCCUUCUGGGCAUCUAUAGGUACACUAAAAGAAUAUUGUUAUAAAUUUUUUCAUAGAUCCGUUUAUCCAUACAUAUGACUUUACUGCCAUAACUCUUAUUUUGAUUUAUCAUUACUGCGGUUUACUACCAAACUCCAGGUUACUCUUGUUGCUUAUCCUAUAUGUAUAAAUCUGUGUCCUUUAAUGCUCCCUUAUUACUGUUCAUCUUAAGAAUGACGGCCUAAUCUCAUCUCAUACUUUGUGACUUUUGUCCAUCUAUUGUUGAUUUACCUUGUGUGGGUAAAUUAAUCCCGUAAAAUUCAUGAAUCCCUUUCUUCAAAUCAUUACGUAAUCGAAGGCCCAAACACCAUCCUUUAUCUACCACAAUUACACCCUUAUUCUACUAUUCAGGCAAUAUUCCAUCUCUUCUAAAUGCUACUUAUGAUGAGUAACUCCUUUGAGUUUAUUUCGGCUAUAUUGAGCUUUCUAUAACUUCGAGAAAUCACCAGAUCUCUUAUUUUCAUGGGCUUAAUGCCGAGAACUUAUCCGUUUCUCAUUACCUUCCCACUCGCUCUUUCUUGUCCUUAUUCCUGUCUUCCUAAAACCUUAUCGCUUUAUCAUACUUUAGCUUGCGUCCUAUAUAUAUCUAUUUAUACUACUCACAACCUUCCUUCAACUUGCUUGCAUCAUAGAUUUCCUUAUGUCAUUCUGGAAUAUCAAGCGAAACAUCACAUCGUAUCUAACUCUUCCUUCUCUCUUAAUUAGCCUCUUCGAUACCUAGAAACCAUAGGUUGAAAGAUAUACCACUGACGAUGCCGCUAUAUAUACUGAAUCCCAGCGCUUCUAGCCUUCUAUCCGAAGUAUGGACUAUUCACAACCUUCUAUAUUUGAUUAUCUCGUACGCUAUUCAUCUUUUAUCUUACUUACCUUAAAACCUCGCAUCGUAUCUUCUAUCUCUUUCAUGACCUCCCUUCCACAUAGUAUAAUUCACGUCCAUAACUUAAAGUUCUAUUAUAGUACUUGCACCUCUGGUGCGUACAUAAUCCGAUAGGAGCUCCAUAAUGAAUUCUUAUGAGGCUGGUAGUUUUCUAACUGGCUCUAUCGUAGAGCCGUUAUAGAAUAUGACUACUGUACUAUUUCUUUUGUACUUCUGAUGUUAAGAGAGGUUCUACAAUGUUCUCAAUAAUGAUGCUUGUAACUUUCUGGGUCCAAUAAGCAGACUCCUAAUUUACUUAGUUGAUAUAACUCUUUAGUUUCCUCUUUCUUCUGAUUGGCCUUUAUGUUGGCUUAAGUUAUCUCCCGAUUUGUGGUUCAUGGUAUUGUUAUUCUGUUUAGCCUUUCAUGGGCGCUAAGGAAUAUGCAUGAUGCAAUCCUUUAACAAUCUAAUCUCUCGCCUAAGUCCUGGGCUCAAUUCUUUCUUUUAACGUAUACCAAAAUCUUCUACGGUUAUAUAUCCUGCAUGUGUAUAACUCCGAACCCUUACGUGUGUUCAUAACGUAACCCACUCUGGAUGACUGAUCAAAUAAUUUCUUUCGUUUCAUCUUAGCUUUCUUUCAACGUAAGCUUUUACUUUUCCUAGUCUUCGUGCCCCCUUGUUGCGUCCAUACUUAGCUUAUCUUAGUGCCCGUAUUUGCCAGAGUUUUCAUACAACUCAUAUGAUCUUGAAUAUUAUUUUUAUUUUACUUCCCGUUCAUUAGCCAAGGUAGGUGCCACUUUCCUUUGGAGUGCUUACAACGUUGUUGCGAGACUAUUGUUACAUGACCAUUUACUCUUUAGGUCGUCGUGCUUAGGUUGAAGCCUUCUUCCUUAUCUCCUCAGCUAGUCUUUAUUUGUAGUACUUAGGGAGAACCCUUGAAUCUCGUAAAGUUGUGAGCUUAUUACAGACCUUUUUGAUAUCCUUCCUUGCCUGUAAUCAUCUGUAGUUGCUUACCUCCGUGCCCUUAUGCUUGUAGGAUUGUUUCUGAACUCAUAUUUUGAUUUCCUUCCCAGUGGCACUUUCUUUUAUCCCCCUAAUAUCAUACGGUACCUUUAACUACCCCGACUCCUAUUUGGAUAUAUCUCAAGUAUUAUAAUGACAAUACUGUGAGGCUGAAUUCUCCAUGUUGGGUUUUACUAUGUUUAUCUUACACGAUCUGCUGACUCGUGUGUAACCUCUCAUUUAGCCAUAACUAGGCUCUUCCUGAUCAAUUACUAACUACUCGUUGGCCCAUUCUCACAUCAACAUUCCACGUAAUCUUUCUUGGGUUAUUUCCUUUGUAUUAACUUAAAUCUUGCACAUGCUCCUUAUUUAUUAAUAACAGCUCGGGCAGGAACCUUUACUUCCUCUCCUAAAUGCCGUUCUUGAACAAUAUUCCGGAAUCGUAGCGUAUCUAUAGGAUUUUAAAUAAAUGCCAUCUCAUUUUUUAUCGCAUUCUUCCUUUACCAUUCCAUAGUCACUAGAACCACUAAAUUCUGAUUUAAUGCCACAUCACUCCAUAUUUCCCCCUUAGGGGAGUACUAAGAGUUGAAGCCACGAGGAUCUACCUAUAGAUGUUUUACCUCUUCAUCUUUGGUGCCGUUUCACAACAUUAAUGAUCCUUACUCACCUUGAGGCAAUAUUUCUGUACCAAGGAUAACAAAUUCCCUUACUCGCGAUGGUGACACUUAGCGCAACCAGCACAUACAGUACCUUAAGCUUAACUUUGCUCACAUUACUUACUUUAGGGAAACAUCUUCCUGAAUGACCUUUCUCUGAAUUUCUUAUGGAUCACCUUCUGUUGUCCAUUCUAUUAUGGCCGGAACGCAAUAUGAAAUUCUCAUGAUGCCGGCCAUUAUCAAAUCACUCAGCUUUAAUUCAUGUUUAGUUUACCUUGUUCACUAGCCCAUACUGAUUUCUAUUACUCUGAGGUCUAACUUUUUCUUCUGGUAGUCGCGUUGGAGUCACGAGCUUAUUUCUCGAAAUGAGGAUAUGACUUUAUGGCAUGUAUUAUUUUGUUGUCUCAAGGCCUGUCACCUGUCGUCCCUUUUUUUUCAUUUGACUAUAGAUUCUAUAACAUUCUACUGUUGUCACCCAUGUAUCACAUCUUACUCAUAAUUCUUCCUUAUCCCUCUUCUCAUUACUCUGCUAAUCUUUCUGCCUAUCCCUUUCUUGUGAAAACUUCAACAAGAUAUUCUUUCGCUUUUAGCUCUCCUUGCUUCAUUCAUCGGCUCCUCGGGUUGCUCAUCCUUGCUCUACUAGUGACGAGAGCCAUACUAAGGUAAUAUUUAUUCCUUCCAGGAUUCCAGUGCCUGUCUUUGAACAUUCCAAUAUUCAUAUCUAGUUGUAUUAUUCUAGAGUGCACCAUCUGGGUGUCUCAAAAGGAGAUCCAUUAGCACAUUUGCAAUAUCCCUCGGAAAUGUCAACUAACGUAAACAAUCCAUCAAUUAUCUUGGGUUACUCUAACCCCAAUCGGAUUCCGAUGUUCCAUCCUUUUCUUAAUCUACACCUGUUAACCCUUAUAUGGCAUAACUGAGAUGGGUGCGACCAAUUGUACAUACCUUUGUUAUUAAUGAAGGUAACUCAAAAUGCUUAUAUUUCUCUUCCUGUAUUGUAGGUAAUGUUCAUCUCUACUAAUUAGGUACCUCGUAUCCUUCUUCACCUUGCUUCUUCUAUUUGUUGAAACUUGUGUCUACCUUCCGAUUCUCUUAUUCCUUACUGUAAGAGCGGAUAGACAUUCUCGCCUUAGGGAUCCUUAUAAAAAAGCUUGCACAUCUUAGUGUCCUCAUGUUCUGCUGGAGACCUUACAUUCAUCAUAAGCAUGGUGCAAAAUCGAGUUCCUCUGACUCAAUUCUUCCAUAGCUACAUUCAAUCCCUUACCAAGCAUCUUUCUAGAUGUAGGCAUUGUCGUAUUAUGAAUAAUAUAGAAUUUAGGAAAUUGAGUUCUUACAAUCGAACUCUACCACACGAUCUAGAGUAAGAAGAAAGAGUAACAGUCCUAAAUGUCCUGUAGCCUCCAGCUUAUAAGUGUGGUGCACGACACACCCAUAAACAAGACUCUACUAGACACUGCUUGUAGAUUCCUUAGGCCAGAACUGCUCUGAUACCACUUUUGUCACGAUCCAAACCGAUGGGCCGAGAUGGGCACCCGGUAUCUUACUCAAUCGAGCACCAAUAUAACGUAUCUUUUCAUGCCAAACUAUCAUAGAUAACUAAGCCGGAAGGCGGCCGUGAGAUAAGUAAAAUACAACAUGUGAUACCAACUUAUAUAUAAUACAUAUGGGCCUAUAAGACCAAAAUAACCAUUCGUAUAUUGAACAUAGGCUGACAAGGCCAUAAUAAUAUUUUACGUACAUGACAUUUGUCUACAAGCCUCUAAGAAUACAUCAUUUUCAUAAAGAACAAUACACGUCUAAAUCAUACCAACCAAACAAGCAACUCCGAAGCAAAUGAAGUGCACCAACACCUUCCGCUGAGCUGAUAGCCUAAUGGAAGGCUCUCGACCUGUCUAUCAGGACCUGCGGGCAUGAAACGUAGUAUUUCCUGGCAAAAGGGACGUCAGUACGUGUACCGAGUAUGUAAAACACAUAAAUAAGUACAUAACAGACAUAGAAGAAAUAUGGAGUAAAUGACUAAGCCUGUAAGUCUGGAUAAUUCUGUAAUUCGUGAAGUAAUUAUAGUGUCAUGCAUGUGCGUAUGAAUUUCAUGUCAUGCAUAGGUACAUGUUUCAUAAUAGCAUUAGGCCUCUGAGGGCAUCCCAUCACAUCAUCUCGGUCAUUGUAGGCAAAAUCAUCAACGUAUACCAGCUGAUCAGGUGAUGAUAUGUAUAUAACGCCGUAACCUUUUCCCAUAUCUUAUAUACAUACACACACACACACACACACACACACACACACAUAUAUAUACGACCUCUGAUUAAUAUCAUAAAAUAAACUUUACCAACUUACGUAUUUUUGAGACCCAUGAACAAAUGAUAGUAUGACACAUGGGAGAAUAAGAAUAUACACAUAUCUAGCAUUUCCACGAAUAGAGUAAUUUAUGGAAUUUGUGCAUUUGCUCGUUUCGUUUGUAUCAUGCGGAUCAUGCCAAAAAGAAAGAAAAGAUAGCCUUAACAUACCUAGAGUAGGAAAAAUUCGUAUGAUGUUCUUGGAAAAGGUUGCACCGUACUCCUUUAGAACCGCAAAAUUUUGCAUUGCUACGGUUUCUAAAAUUCUUCGUUGGACUGUUGAAGAUUUAUAUUGCUAAUAUGAAUGAAUACCGUUACUUAAUGAAAGGUUUAGGAUCUGAUUUCAUUCUCUUUGAGAAUGAAACUUGAUUUAGUUUUUAUCAAUUGUAUGUAUGCAGUGUGGAAGGUGUUGGAGAAGGAGAACAAAGAAUUCUUUGAGGCAUGCAAUAAAAUGAGAGAGGAAAAAUCAUCAUCAAUAUUAUCAGAAU